This 305-nucleotide ribosomal RNA is filed under the name uncultured bacterium. Its description in RNAcentral is "bacterial SSU rRNA". It matches the Rfam family "Bacterial small subunit ribosomal RNA", at positions 333 to 655 of the family's 1533-position model. The record is from RNAcentral.
UGUUACCUACGGGAGGCAGCAGUAGGGAAUAUUGCUCAAUGGGGGAAACCCUGAAGCAGCAACGCCGCGUGGAGGAUGAAGGUUUUAGGAUUGUAAACUCCUUUUGUUAGAGAAGAUUAUGACGGUAUCUAACGAACAAGCACCGGCUAACUCCGUGCCUGCAGCCGCGGUAAUACGGAGGGUGCAAGCGUUACUCGGAAUCACUGGGCGUAAAGAGUGCGUAGGCGGGGUAAUAAGUCGGAUGUGAAAUCCUGUAGCUUAACUACAGAACUGCAUUUGAAACUGUUACUCUGGAGUGUGGGAGG